This 489-nucleotide ribosomal RNA is filed under the name uncultured bacterium. RNAcentral describes it as "bacterial SSU rRNA". It matches the Rfam family "Bacterial small subunit ribosomal RNA", at positions 28 to 508 of the family's 1533-position model. The record is from RNAcentral.
GAUGAACGCUAGCUACAGGCUUAACACAUGCAAGUCGAGGGGCAGCAUGGUCUUAGCUUGCUAAGACUGAUGGCGACCGGCGCACGGGUGAGUAACACGUAUCCAACCUGCCGUCUACUCUUGGACAGCCUUCUGAAAGGAAGAUUAAUACAAGAUGGCAUCAUGAGUCCGCAUGUUCACAUGAUUAAAGGUAUUCCGGUAGACGAUGGGGAUGCGUUCCAUUAGAUAGUAGGCGGGUAACGGCCCACCUAGUCUUCGAUGGAUAGGGGUUCUGAGAGGAAGGUCCCCCACAUUGGAACUGAGACACGGUCCAAACUCCUACGGGAGGCAGCAGUGAGGAAUAUUGGUCAAUGGGCGAGAGCCUGAACCAGCCAAGUAGCGUGAAGGAUGACUGCCCUAUGGGUUGUAAACUUCUUUUAUAAAGGAUAAAGUCGGGUAUGCAUACCCGUUUGCAUGUACUUUAUGAAUAAGGAUCGGCUAACUCCGUAG